GACGUAGGGUGCAAGCGUUGUCCGGAUUCAUUGGGCGUAAAGAGCUCGUAGGCGGCUUGGCAAGUCAGAUGUGAAACCCUCAGGCUUAACCUGGGGCCGCCAUCUGAUACUGCUAUGGCUAGAGUCCGGUAGGGGAUCGUGGAAUUCCUGGAGUAGCGGUGAAAUGCACAGAUCUCAGGAGGAACACCAGUGGCGAAGGCGGCGAUCUGGGCCGGUACUGACGCUGAGGAGCGAAAGCGUGGGGAGCAAACAGG
RNAcentral lists this ribosomal RNA (254 nucleotides) under uncultured bacterium. Its description in RNAcentral is "partial 16S ribosomal RNA". It matches the Rfam family "Bacterial small subunit ribosomal RNA", at positions 524 to 776 of the family's 1533-position model. The record is from RNAcentral.